ACUGUGUCGGCCAGGCUACCCUGGAGCUCACAGAGAUCCACUGAAACUAAAGGUGUCUGCCGCUAUGCCUGGUGGAGUGGAGUGACAGAAACACAUGUCACGAUUCCCAGCAUCCUCAGCAUCCUCACCUCCCACCAGCUGAUCCACUGCAACUAGGUUCUGAACUGACUCCGGAAGACUGCCCAUGGGAGAGGCCGUGCUGCUGUUCUCGGGUAGGUAUUUGAUGUGUGCGGGCUGGGCACCGGUGGAAAUAGAACCUCGUGGUAUGGUCUGUAGAAACCCGAGGAAGAUAACUGAAGCCUGUCUUCUACUGCGCUCGAGGUGCAGUCUACCUUAGAGCUACUUGAUUAUCGGCGCAUACAUUUUUGUGGAGAAGCCUCGUUGUAUACUUUCUGCCAUGGCACAACUCCAGGCACGUUUCU
RNAcentral lists this long non-coding RNA (422 nucleotides) under Rattus norvegicus (Norway rat). RNAcentral's name for it is "long non-coding RNA NONRATT030080". Lineage: Eukaryota; Metazoa; Chordata; Mammalia; Rodentia; Muridae. The record is from RNAcentral.